RNAcentral lists this ribosomal RNA (253 nucleotides) under uncultured bacterium. RNAcentral's name for it is "partial 16S ribosomal RNA". It matches the Rfam family "Bacterial small subunit ribosomal RNA", at positions 524 to 776 of the family's 1533-position model. The record is from RNAcentral.
UACGUAGGGUGCGAGCGUUAAUCGGAAUUACUGGGCGUAAAGUGUGCGCAGGCGGCAGAGCAAGUCGAGUGUGAAAGCCCCGGGCUCAACCUGGGAACUGCGUUGGAAACUACGAGGCUGGAGUACGGCAGAGGGGGGUGGAAUUCCCUGUGUAGCGGUGAAAUGCGUAGAGAUGGGGGAGAACACUCGUGGCGAAGGCGGCCAGCUAGACCAGUUCUGACACUGAGGCGCGACAGCGUGGGGAGCAAACAGG